RNAcentral lists this long non-coding RNA (1804 nucleotides) under Medicago truncatula (barrel medic). RNAcentral describes it as "long non-coding RNA (MTRU_LNC007777)". The record is from RNAcentral. Lineage: Eukaryota; Viridiplantae; Streptophyta; Magnoliopsida; Fabales; Fabaceae.
UCUCUCUAGAAAUGUUUGUGAAAUGAAUGAAUUGGUUCUCCUAACACAACCCUAGUGUUAUCUCUACUAAUGGGCUUAACUUAGUUUCUAGUGGGCUUAACUCAUUUCUAUUUAAACCAAAAAUAUUACUACACUCCAAACGAUAUUUUAAUUAAUAACGGUAAAAUGUAAUCAACGGUCACCAACGGUAAAAACUAAUCACUACACUAGUAACUUAGUAAAAUAAGGGUUCUCACUAAUUAUUAAAAUAAUUCUCACCAAAAUUACCAUUUUACCCUUACCCGACAAAUGACUAAAAUACCCUUCUAAUACGGUAAUCCACGUAAAUGCACCCAAUGAUGAUUAAUCACACAUAAACAUAUAAAACACAUAAUAAAAAUAAUUAAAAUAAAUCUAGCUAAAAAUCGGGCUGUUACAGGUUGGAUAUGGCAAGACUAUUUAUAUAUUCGGGUCGGGUCGGACCAACCCAUUUGACACCUCUAUGUUGCAGCUAACUUUCUAAAUAAGAGACAAUGACUUUGUUGCCUUCUAUGAAACCCCCCUUGACAUGUAAUCUAUUUUCUUAACGGACGUCGUUGGCGUUGAGUUCAUUUGACACACACUACUGAAGCAAGUGCUGGUGUGUGAAGGCAUAAACUAAUAUGGUCAUAACUCAUAACAGAUAUCACCAUUACAAGAAGCUGUAAAAAAAAAACAAAAAAAAGACUAAACUACAGUUUUGGCCCCCUAAGUUUACCAAUGUUGCAAUUUUGGUCCCCUGAUAAAAAAAAUAAAAAUUUGGCCCCCUAAGAUUUAGCCCCUUUGCAAUUGUGAUCUUUUGGCCAAUUUUGACCAAGUCAACGCUUAUUUGGCAUGCCACGUGUGUAAUUAACAAUUUUAAAAAAAAAAUAUGUCACAUAUUAAAUUGUUGAAUUAAAAAAAUGAAAAAGGAAAGGAAGAAGAAGAGGCACACGUUCAUCAAUCCAGCAACAUCAUCAUUAAUCUCCUUCAUCUUCUUCUCAACCAAAAUCUAUAAAAUCCAGAAAAUACAACAUGAAUCUCUUCAACAACAACAACAAUCUCGUCAACAACAACAACAAUCUUCAUAAAAAAAUCCAGAAAAUCAUCUCAAAAUCCCAAAUUGUUUCUAUUCGAUUUGCAAUAGCUAUUCCGACCUGGAUCAAUAAAAUAUCUCUUUUAAUUUAAUAAUCCAAGUAUGCAUAUUUCGUUCAUCAAAAUCAUUGAAGAACAAAACACCAAAAAACAUGAAGAAAAACCUGUUUCAGGAGGACAUGCAGCUACUAGAAAGAAGCUACAAACCGAAGCAAUUUCAAGAAUACUUACUAUUUUAACAGUAUUCAGCAAAAACCGUUCUCUCCCAGCACCUUCCCUCUCCUUCCGUUCUCUCCCACCACCACAAUUCCUCCCUCCAUCAUUGUUGAAACUUCAACUGUAACGGAAAAUGCUACGAAUGAAACUUAAGAUUACAGGUUGCAAGAGGAUGAGAGAGCUUCGAUCUGUACAGAAGGAUGAAAGAGCAUCGAGAAAACGGAUAGAAAUCAAGCAAAAUCGACGAAAACAACGCCACCGGAGCUUCACCGGAAAAAGCGGGUGAGGAAAGAGAAGAGAGCAUGAGAGUUUGUGAUGAAGGAGUUAUGGAUUUUUAGGUUCAAUUUGUGGAAAGAUGAUUUUGAGGAUUUUAGGUAACACAAUCACUAUUGAUUUUGGAUUUAGGAGAAGAAUUGAAGAACGGUGAUGGUUCUUCUUCUCCCAAAGGUUUCAAAACAAAUCACCAACGUGCCAUCAUUUUUCAAUUCCUUUUUUC